GAAAAUGAAAAUAUUUUUCUUCUUGAGGAAUUCGGCGACAAAUCUCCGGUCUGAGGAACACGAAUCUCAUAUAAGGCUCUUUAAUAGUGGAUGAGUCUAUAACCCAAGCCGAAAUCUCACUGCCGAAACUUUCAGGGAGUAAAUGAGGUAUUCAGUCCGUAGAUGGUGCUGUUUAG
Non-coding RNA from Desulfosporosinus sp. BRH_c37, 176 nucleotides. Lineage: Bacteria; Bacillati; Bacillota; Clostridia; Eubacteriales; Desulfitobacteriaceae. The record is from Rfam.